RNAcentral lists this ribosomal RNA (253 nucleotides) under uncultured bacterium. Its description in RNAcentral is "partial 16S ribosomal RNA". It matches the Rfam family "Bacterial small subunit ribosomal RNA", at positions 524 to 776 of the family's 1533-position model. The record is from RNAcentral.
UACAGGGGGUGCAAACGUUGCUCGGAAUCAUUGGGCGUAAAGCGCGUGUAGGCGGUUUGGUAAGUCGGAUGUGAAAGCCCUGGGCUCAACCCAGGAAGUGCAUUCGAUACUGUCAAGCUAGAGUAUCGGAGAGGUUGGUGGAAUUCUCGGUGUAGAGGUGAAAUUCGUAGAUAUCGAGAGGAACACCGGUGGCGAAGGCGGCCAACUGGACGAAUACUGACGCUGAGACUCGAAAGCGUGGGUAGCAAACAGG